AAUGCAAUUAACCUGAAAGAAAUAGCGGAUCAAACCGAGGGCUACUCCGGCAGUGAUCUGAAAGAGCUUUGCAGGGACGCUGCCAUGUACCGCGUUAGAGACUAUGUCCGCAAACAGCAGAUGAAACAGAUCGCACAACAGUUCCAGCUGGAUGAAGAAGAGCAUGUGGACAGCACGCAGCUGAGGCCCGUGACUCAACUGGACCUGCUGUUUGGCCUAGAUAAGAUGAGAGAAUCCAAACAGGCCACAGCUACAGCUGACCCAGCAAAUCUGAGAGAGGUGCCUCUGGACUGAAAACCUCUCACUUUACACGCUCAUACACUCAUUUUAUCUCUCUCACUUCUUUCUUUCUGCCUCAUCUUUUGCCUUUCCUUUUUAAAUUAUUUUUCUUCGUCUUUCACAUUUGUUACAUCUUAAACAUUUUAAGUUUGCACUAUAAUGAAUUUACCGUCAGAUACUCAAGACAGUAACCAUGUGCAUAUUUAUAAUAACAGUAGUCAUUAAUAGUACACGCACACUAAAUGGAGUUUCAUUAUUCUUCAGCAUUUUAAAUUGUUUAAGUUAUUUCUGUUAUGAUCAACUAGAGAGGAAUAUAAACUUUGCUAUAUCUAUAAAUGUUUUAGUAAUCAGGACCAGGUUUCCUGAAACACUGAGUGUUGUCUAACUGUCUUAUUAGGAUGCAUGAGUAUUACACUAAUGUUAAACUGAAUAGUGCAUGUGUGACUUUGUCAACACCAAUUUAGCCAUGAUAAUAAUAAUAAUUUGUGUCAGGAACAUGUCUGGGUCAUAUUCAACCCAAAAUCAAAAGAA
Sinocyclocheilus rhinocerous is the source of this 810-nucleotide long non-coding RNA. RefSeq lists it as uncharacterized. Lineage: Eukaryota; Metazoa; Chordata; Actinopteri; Cypriniformes; Cyprinidae. The record is from RefSeq and is a predicted model, not a curated record. The transcript has 3 exons.